RNAcentral lists this ribosomal RNA (492 nucleotides) under uncultured bacterium. RNAcentral's name for it is "partial 16S ribosomal RNA". It matches the Rfam family "Bacterial small subunit ribosomal RNA", at positions 29 to 507 of the family's 1533-position model. The record is from RNAcentral.
AGUGAACGCUGGCGGUAGGCCUAACACAUGCAAGUCGAACGGCAGCACAGUAAGAGCUUGCUCUUACGGGUGGCGAGUGGCGGACGGGUGAGGAAUACAUCGGAAUCUACUUUUUCGUGGGGGAUAACGUAGGGAAACUUACGCUAAUACCGCAUACGACCUACGGGUGAAAGCAGGGGAUCUUCGGACCUUGCGCGAUUGAAUGAGCCGAUGUCGGAUUAGCUAGUUGGCGGGGUAAAGGCCCACCAAGGCGACGAUCCGUAGCUGGUCUGAGAGGAUGAUUAGCUAGACUGGAACUGAGACACGGUCGCGACUCCUACGGGAGGCAGCAGUGCGGACUAUUGGGGAAUGGGGGCAUGCCUAAUCUAGCCAUACCGCGUGAGUGAUGAAGGCCCUCGGCUUGUAGAGCGAUUAUGUUGGGAAAGAUGAGCAGCACUUUAAUACCCCGUUGUUCUGACGGUACCCAAAGAAUAAGCUCCGGCUAACUUCGUG